UCUUGGGUCCACUGUCCAGUGUGCUCCAAACAGCAGUGGGGCAGAAACAUGGAGAGGGGUCACAUGGUAUAACCCCUCCCCUGUGGCAAUGGGGCAGCACUCUGUCCAAAUAGGAGGCAACUGUGAUGUAGACAGACACCCCAAAACAUACUCCCUUGCCAGUGUGAUUGCAAGUGCUUAGAAGAGGAGUUGUAACUGUGGAAGAAUGACUGGAGAAAUGCAACCUUGAUAGCUUUCAAGAUCAAGAGGGCAGUGAAUCAGGGCCACUAGAAGCUGGAAACAAAGAAAUAGAUUCUUUCCUGGAGCCUUCCGAAGGGAGCACAGCCCUGACAACACUGUGAGGUUAGCCCCCGGAGAACCAGGUCACGCUGCUAACCUACAGGACUGCGAGGCGUGACGGAGGUCCUGAUGUUCAAGCCACACCCCGCCCUGUCUGAACCACCUGGACACCCAAUUUUAACAUGAGGGAAAUGAGGAAUACGAAUCGUCCUGGCCACUGCAGCACAGACCCCGCCGUGCUUGCCUGCAGCUCAGGGAUGUUUGCAUGAAAAAACACUUCUCAAUA
Suricata suricatta (meerkat) is the source of this 565-nucleotide long non-coding RNA. RefSeq lists it as uncharacterized. Lineage: Eukaryota; Metazoa; Chordata; Mammalia; Carnivora; Herpestidae. The record is from RefSeq and is a predicted model, not a curated record. The transcript has 3 exons.